Molecule: non-coding RNA, 921 nt
Organism: Pelobates cultripes (western spadefoot toad)
Lineage: Eukaryota; Metazoa; Chordata; Amphibia; Anura; Pelobatidae
Source: the annotation of a GenBank genome assembly
CCCUCCUCUAGCCAACAAACAGACUCCACUCACAUUGCCGCUGCCUGUAUGUGACUCCGGAGUCUGGCCUCUGGCAUAUCCCAAAUGGCACCGUCCGCACCGAGUGCCAAAGCGGAUCUUCUCACUCCUUGAAACCCUGUGAAGGUGGAGCACGUCGUCGUCACGUCAGAAUGUGACUUGGCGUUGCAUCCUCCGUGCACCUCCAGGUACUCCACUGUCCAGCCACAGCCAUCGCAACAAUGACGACACACACACACAAUCAGUGACAGACACACACACACACAGACACUUAUUUACUGACAGACACACACAGACAUUUACACAUUCUUGCACACACUAACAUCAUUCCCUGGGGUCCAGUGGGGAUCUUCUAAAAGGAGAUUUCCUUCCUGCUCCUCACUGCUCCCUCGCGCACAGGUUAGGGAUACCGGGUGCCGAAAUAUGAUGUCAUAUUCUGGCACCCGGUAUCACUACAGAGGGCGUGCGUGAGGGAGCAGGAAGACUGAGCUCCUCCAGCAACCUCUCCCCCCGGCCAGGUAAACUUUAGCAGAGCAGGCACCUGCAAAUUAGAGAAAGCAGGUGCCUACUCUCUUUAACACUAAGCAUGUCUCAAACUCGCGGCAAGCUUGACCUAAAACAUUGCAGUUUCAGAGAAACUGCAGUGCUUACAUUGCAGGGUUAAUACAGCCUCUAGUGGCUAUCUUCCAGACAGCCACUAUGAGGCAUUUCCUGCAUUUUUGUAAAGUUUAACUCGGUGAAACAAUGUUGGACAUCCUCAUGUUUUGCAUGAGGACAGCCAGUGUCUAAAAAAACUCCCUAUAGGAAAGCACUGAUUCAAUGCUUUCCUAUGGGAAAGUUCUAAUGUGCAUGCCGUGAUUGCUGGGCAUGCGCAUUAGGUCCUCCAUCAGUGUGACAUCCUUA